UACGUAGGUGGCAAGCGUUGUCCGGAAUUAUUGGGUGUAAAGGGAGCGUAGGCGGGUGGACAAGUUGAAUGUGAAAGUGACAGGCUCAACCUGUUGUUGCGUUCAAAACUGUACAUCUUGAGUGAAGUAGAGGCAGGCGGAAUUCCUAGUGUAGCGGUGAAAUGCGUAGAUAUUAGGAGGAACACCAGUGGCGAAGGCGGCCUGCUGGGCUUUUACUGACGCUGAGGCUCGAAAGCGUGGGUAGCAAACAGG
RNAcentral lists this ribosomal RNA (252 nucleotides) under uncultured bacterium. RNAcentral describes it as "partial 16S ribosomal RNA". It matches the Rfam family "Bacterial small subunit ribosomal RNA", at positions 524 to 776 of the family's 1533-position model. The record is from RNAcentral.